AGCUGAAUAAACAGCAAUCGAUCUCUCUGGUUUUGAUCGUCAACGUGAACAGACGCGUUUUUAUAAACCGAAAUCCCCGAGUAAUUUCAUCUUUAACAUUGGCGACGAGGAUAAAUCAUUCCAAUUCGUAAAGUGACGCGUGUUGUGCGAGAAGUACAGGCCGAAAUUUUUUGCUACAGAGUUGUGUACGGGCGUUGUUUUGGCAGUUUCGUUAGCGUUGGACGAGCGCCGAGAGGGCGAAGUUUUUUUUUGCCGGAUUGGUGGAUUUGGAAAAACUAGCACGCCGGUUGUAAGGCAACGCUUACAGAAUCGGCGUGCGCUAAACUGAGGCUUAGCUUAAGCUGAAUUGAGCUACAUUUAGCUGAUUGGAGUUUAGAUUAUUUGAGAGAUACGAGUGGCCAUUUACGACGUCGUGCAUUGAAAAGUUGGAUAGAUCGUUGCAGUUGGAUAAAUAGCGGUUGAAUAUUGCCGGACAGCUGCUGUUGGCGUCUUUAACGAUUGUGCGGAAUACGGAAGUCCUUCAGCAAUGGCGUAAUGAGGACCAUCGACCUAUACGUUGCAGAUCAUCCGGAUAGGCAGCUACAAGUUUUUCAGCAGAAAGCUCCAGUUCAGAAGGUUUAGUGUUGAUGUCGGACAAAAAACCAAACUAGUUGGGCGCUUUUCGUUCAUCGAGAGCAUCAAUCAGUUUAUCAAUCGCUGGUAGAAUGCCUUUAUUCUUGAAUUUCUCCUCUGUAGAAAUCUGUGUCGAUGCGGUUAUCAUCUUAACACCAACGAGGUUGAGCCGAACGUUUGGUACUCGUACACCAACCACCUCGUAUUUUUCAUUCCUCGACAAUUGACUUAUAGCUAUAUUUAUAUUCCAAGAGAAUCCAAGGUGAACUCUAAUGAAUGUUAUUGUGAUAUUGGC
Molecule: long non-coding RNA, 907 nt
Organism: Wyeomyia smithii (pitcher-plant mosquito)
Lineage: Eukaryota; Metazoa; Arthropoda; Insecta; Diptera; Culicidae
Exons: 3
Source: RefSeq, a predicted model, not a curated record